GCUUCUGGCAGGUCCGAGACGGGCCUGCAUCUACAGUGCGUCCUUAUUAAUGACUUGCAGGAGGUGAUGAGCAGAACAUUAAUUAAACGUGCACAUGUGGCCAAGUGGGAAAUUGGCGGCGAGAACAGCAGAGGCAGGCACAUAAUAUCCAGUCCUGUACGCCAUUGAGAAGAUAAAAAUGAAAAAAUCGAAGACAUUUGAUGCUGUAUUAAGGAGCAAGCCGACCUGACAGGCCU
This 236-nucleotide long non-coding RNA is filed under the name Rattus norvegicus (Norway rat). Its description in RNAcentral is "long non-coding RNA NONRATT032772". The record is from RNAcentral. Lineage: Eukaryota; Metazoa; Chordata; Mammalia; Rodentia; Muridae.